GAAUAUGCGUUUGGGUUCAUUACUUCAACUGUCACUCUCCAGAACUAUUCUGGAGAGGAGGAGCUGUGUUGUGUAUAUGUUCCCACCAAUCAUCUCUACAUUGGUGAUGUUUUCCUAGUCAACUCUCAGGAUGUUAUUAGACCAAAUUUGUCAGUUCGGGAAGGAAUCGAGAUCGUCGUGUCUGGAGGCAUGUCGAUGCCGCAGAUACUAUCCAUACGGGAUUCAGAUAUUCGACCAAUUGAGAGUAGAAGAUUGACUAGAAGCUGAGACUCUGAAGAGAUGUACCAUUGCUGGCUGCUAAUAAUCAAUAUACGAUCAUGG
This 321-nucleotide unclassified non-coding RNA is filed under the name Hevea brasiliensis (rubber tree). Lineage: Eukaryota; Viridiplantae; Streptophyta; Magnoliopsida; Malpighiales; Euphorbiaceae. The record is from RNAcentral.